Molecule: non-coding RNA, 1225 nt
Organism: Physcomitrium patens
Lineage: Eukaryota; Viridiplantae; Streptophyta; Bryopsida; Funariales; Funariaceae
Source: RefSeq, a predicted model, not a curated record
CAAAACCCUAAUUUCUCACCGUGAAUGCAUGCCGAGCCGUCGGAAGCUGGUCGCAUCCAUGAAAAAAGGAACUAUACAAUGCACAAAUUCUUGUUGUUGCUUCAUGGCCACGCUAUGGACCGCGGAGUAUUUUUGGUGUAAAUGAAGAGCGCCCCUUCAUUUCAGUGUUUUUGUGACUUUGUCAACUUCGUUCUGCUUUCCUCACCGCCGAGACUGAAGCUAACGCGUGACGACAGUCGCCGCUCUCCUUCAUUCGUGUCUCCUGUUUAAUGCUUUAAGAAUUUAUUGAGUUGAAUGGGAAAUUCUUCUAGUCAAGAAGUUGGAAAGUCGAGUACGACAGCUGUCACAGAUGACACUGUAAAGAGAGCAGUCACGCCAGUUGCAGCAGCAGUUGGGCCUGCGGAGGCGCCGAAGAAGAAAAUUUGUUGCGCCUGUCCGGAGACGAAGAAGUUGCGGGACGAUUGCAUCGUGGAACAUGGGGAAAACGCUUGUGCGAAGUGGAUUGAGGCCCACAAGCAGUGCCUGCGGCGAGAGGGUUUUAAUGUGUAGUGGUAUUGAGCCUUGGAAGCGUGGAAAAUUUAUUUUUUGAUUGAGCAUCCGUCACUGCGAAGGAAUGAGAGAAUAACAUGAACUGAUCUAUGCAUUUUAACUUCGAUGGGGUUGAGAUCGCACGAGAAAGACAGAUCGGUUCAAUUUUUCAGGAGCGACUUGAAUGCAAUCUGGACAUGAAUAUUCUAGGAUUAAGCUAGAAUGUUCAUGCCCUGUGAGUUUUAACUUCUUGCAAGAAUCAACCAUUUUUGACAGUUCUGCGUGUAACCUACGCAAUUGUGGAAUUUCCCUUUUCAUCAAUUCGAUACCUUGUCUCUGGCGGGAAUUGGUCUUUGUUUACCACAGUGCUUAUGGUUUAGCAGAUUUGAGGGUUUCUUAUGAGUUUUAAGUUUGUCCACAAACCCCUUCUGGGCAUCAGGCUGUUAUCAAUCAAUGUUGAUGAAGUUCAUUUGAAGAUGGCAAUCGCCAUGACACUCGUUAUUACGUUCCGGUCUUGUUCUGCAUGACUUUUGGAAAGCUGACGAAGUCUCUGAGGUGUAGGUACAGGCACAAUAGUCCGUAGAGGAGCUCAUUAUUUUUUUAUGAUCUGUUCUUAUCAUAGACUUCAGCUUUAUCAAGCGAUAUGUAAUCGUUCAGUAAUAAUUCUAUCGUUCUUCUGUGAUGUUGUAAUGGGGAA